Molecule: ribosomal RNA, 199 nt
Filed under: uncultured bacterium
Lineage: Bacteria
Description: partial 16S ribosomal RNA
Rfam family: Bacterial small subunit ribosomal RNA
Source: RNAcentral
AGGCUGCAACUCGCCUGUAUGAAGUUGGAAUUGCUAGUAAUCGCGGAUCAGCAUGCCGCGGUGAAUACGUUCCCGGGCCUUGUACACACCGCCCGUCACACCAUGAGAGCCGGUAAUACCCGAAGUCAGUAUCCUAACCGCAAGGAGGGAGCUGCCGAAGGUAGGAUUGGCGAUUGGGGUGAAGUCGUAACAAGGUAUC